GACGAACGCUGGCGGCGUGCUUAACACAUGCAAGUCGAACGGAAAGGCCCUGCUUUUGUGGGGUGCUCGAGUGGCGAACGGGUGAGUAACACGUGAGUAACCUGCCCUUGACUUUGGGAUAACUUCAGGAAACUGGGGCUAAUACCGGAUAGGAGCUCCUGCUGCAUGGUGGGGGUUGGAAAGAUUCGGCGGUUGGGGAUGGACUCGCGGCUUAUCAGCUUGUUGGUGGGGUAGUGGCGUACCAAGGCUUUGACGGGUAGCCGGCCUGAGAGGGUGACCGGCCACCUGGGGACUGCGAGACGGCCCAGACUGCUACGGGAGGCAGCAGGCGGGAAUAUUGCACAAUGGGGGGAAGCCUGAUGCAGCAACGCCGCGUGCGGGAUGACGGCCUUCGGGUUGUAAACCGCUUUCGCCGGUGACGAAGCGUGAGUGACGGUAAUGGGUAAAGAAGCACCGGCUAACUACGUG
RNAcentral lists this ribosomal RNA (468 nucleotides) under uncultured bacterium. RNAcentral's name for it is "partial 16S ribosomal RNA". It matches the Rfam family "Bacterial small subunit ribosomal RNA", at positions 28 to 507 of the family's 1533-position model. The record is from RNAcentral.